AAAAAGUUGGGUUGUGAAAUCCGAAGCUUAACUUCGGAACUGCAAUCAAAACUUUUUAGCUAGAGUAUGAUAGAGGAAAGCAGAAUUUCUAGUGUAGAGGUGAAAUUCGUAGAUAUUAGAAAGAAUACCAAUUGCGAAGGCAGCUUUCUGGAUCAUUACUGACGCUGAGGAACGAAAGCAUGGGUAGCGAAGAGGAUUAGAUACCCUCGUAGUCCAUGCCGUAAACGAUGUGUGUUAGACGUUGGAAAUUUAUUUUCAGUGUCGCAGCGAAAGCAAUAAACACACCGCCUGGGGAGUACGACCGCAAGGUUAAAACUCAAAUGAAUUGACGGGGACCCGCACAAGUAGUGGAGCAUGUGGUUUAAUUCGAAGAUACGCGCAGAACCUUACCAACACUUGACAUGUUCGUCGCGGCUCUAAGAGAUUAGAGCUUUCGGUUCGGCCGGACGAAACACAGGUGCUGCAUGGCUGUCGUCAGCUCGUGUCGUGAGAUGUUGGGUUAAGUCCCGCAACGAGCGCAACCCUCACUUUUAGUUGCCAUCAUUUAGUUGGGCACUCUGAAAGAACUGCCAGUGAUAAGCUGGAGGAAGGUGGGGAUGACGUCAAGUCCUCAUGGCCCUUACGUGUUGGGCUACACACGUGCUACAAUGGCAUUUACAAUAGGAAGCAAGAUGGCGACGUCAAGCAAAUCCUAAAAAGAUGCCUCAGUUCGGAUUGUACUCUGCAACUCGAGUACAUGAAGCUGGAAUUACUAGUAAUCGCGGAUCAGCGCGCCGCGGUGAAUGCGUUCCCGGGUCUUGUACACACCGCCCGUCACACCAUGGGAGUUGGUUCUACCUUAAGGCAAGGUUUUAAACCCUUGACCACGGUAUAGUCAGCGACUGGGGUGAAGUCGUAACAAGGUAACCGUA
Molecule: ribosomal RNA, 911 nt
Filed under: uncultured bacterium
Lineage: Bacteria
Description: bacterial SSU rRNA
Rfam family: Bacterial small subunit ribosomal RNA
Source: RNAcentral